RNAcentral lists this transfer RNA (69 nucleotides) under Pseudhymenochirus merlini (Merlin's clawed frog). Its description in RNAcentral is "tRNA-Val". It matches the Rfam family "tRNA". From Rfam's summary of the family: Transfer RNA (tRNA) molecules are approximately 80 nucleotides in length. Their secondary structure includes four short double-helical elements and three loops (D, anti-codon, and T loops). Lineage: Eukaryota; Metazoa; Chordata; Amphibia; Anura; Pipidae. The record is from RNAcentral.
CAAGAUGUAGCUUAACUAAAGCCUUUCGCUUACACCGAAAAAAUGUCUAUUAAACCUAGAUUAUCUUGA